UACGUAGGGGGCGAGCGUUGUCCGGAUUUAUUGGGCGUAAAGAGCGUGUAGGCGGUUCGGUAAGUCUGUCGUGAAAUCCUGAGGCUCAACCUCGGGCGUGCGAUGGAUACUGCCGGGCUAGAGGGUGGUAGAGGCGAGUGGAAUUCCCGGUGUAGCAGUGAAAUGCGUAGAUAUCGGGAGGAACAUCUGUGGCGAAGGCGACUACCUGGACCAGCACUGACACUGAGGCACGAAAGCGUGGGGAGCAAACAGG
RNAcentral lists this ribosomal RNA (253 nucleotides) under uncultured bacterium. RNAcentral's name for it is "partial 16S ribosomal RNA". It matches the Rfam family "Bacterial small subunit ribosomal RNA", at positions 524 to 776 of the family's 1533-position model. The record is from RNAcentral.